RNAcentral lists this ribosomal RNA (1281 nucleotides) under Triticum aestivum (bread wheat). RNAcentral describes it as "partial small subunit ribosomal RNA". The record is from RNAcentral. Lineage: Eukaryota; Viridiplantae; Streptophyta; Magnoliopsida; Poales; Poaceae.
AUGCCGCUCCUCCACCUCUCGCUUCCGCCGCACCGUCUCCUCGUCGGCCGCCGGCGACUAUUCGCCCCGCCGACGCCUCCUCCCUCUCGUAUCUCGAUAAGGGCGGCAGCGUUGAUAUCGUCAGCCGCGGAGGACGGAAGCGAUCUCCCCUUCCCUCCAGAGCGCGCUCCCCACCACCGCGAGCUCGCCGCGGCCGCUGCCUCUGUCGAGCGCGCCUGCCGCCUCUGCGUAGACGUGAAGAGAUCACUUCUUUCAGGUGGAAGGAAGAUUCUUGAAAAGAAUGACCAAAGUCCUGUGACAAUUGCAGAUUUUGGAGUUCAGGCCCUUAUCAGCUUCGAGCUCCAGCAACUGUUUCCAUCAAUACCUCUGGUGGCAGAAGAGGACUCAACAUUUCUGAAGUCAUCUAAUCCUGAUGAUAACAGUGGUAAUGUACUCAUUGAGUCAAUUUCAAGUGCUGUCACAGACAAAGUGAAAAAUAGUGGUUCACCUUUAACUCAUGAUGAUGUGUUGAGAGCUAUUGAUAGAGGAGGCAAGGAUGCUGUCUCCUUUGAUUCAAAUCCUGCUACUUAUUGGGUACUUGAUCCAAUUGAUGGCACUAAAGGUUUCUUGAAAGGAGAUGAUGCUCUGUAUGUGGUCGGUUUGGCUCUUGUGGUGAACGGAAAGGUAGCAGUAGGAGUGAUGGGAUGUCCAAAUUGGACCACGGCAAACAAGAAAGAAGAAAAUCUUGAUCCCUGUCCUGGCAAUGGCAUCCUUAUGGUGUCUCAUGUAGGCUGUGGUACUUGGUCUAGGCACUUGUCUCCUGAGAUUGGCCAGCUCACCACAGCACAGGAUGUUUGGAAGAGAUGUUUUGUUGAUGCAUGUUCAGUUGUGCACAUGGCACGCUUCUGCAUUCCGGAUAGCCAAACUUGGAACAUGAUACCAUUAUCCCUCCUCUUUGACUCAACGACGGACGAAUCUGAUACUCGAGAUGAGAAUAAAAUUCUUCUCCGAUAUGCUUGCUGUGGCAGCUUGUGCAAAUAUAUAAUGGUAGCAUCUGGGAGAGCCUCAGUUUUUUUCAGUCGAGCCCGGGUGAACACUCAAAUCAAGGCUUGGGAUCAUGCUGUUGGGAUGAUUUGUGUGCAGGAAGCUGGCGGUCAGAUCAGUGACUGGAGUGGGAAACCGUUGGAUCUUGCAGCUGACCUAACAGGGCGCAGAAUUCUCUACCCUUCAGGCGGUGUUCUUGUGACAAACGGUGCUGUGCACGACAAACUCGUCGAACUGAUAUCAGCAAACCACGAAUAG